ACUCAAGAUCCACAGGAAGAGUCGGCGUAUGCUUUGGAACCUCAGGGCCAGGAGCCACUAAUCUUGUUACAGGCAUC
RNAcentral lists this transfer RNA (77 nucleotides) under Cryptomonas paramaecium. RNAcentral's name for it is "Cryptomonas paramecium tRNA". The record is from RNAcentral. Lineage: Eukaryota; Cryptophyceae; Cryptomonadales; Cryptomonadaceae.